GACGAACGCUGGCGGCGUGCUUAACACAUGCAAGUCGAACGAAGAGCGAUGGAAGCUUGCUUCUAUCAAUCUUAGUGGCGAACGGGUGAGUAACGCGUAAUCAACCUGCCCUUCAGAGGGGGACAACAGUUGGAAACGACUGCUAAUACCGCAUACGAUCUAAUCUCGGCAUCGAGGAUAGAUGAAAGGUGGCCUCUACAUGUAAGCUAUCACUGAAGGAGGGGAUUGCGUCUGAUUAGCUAGUUGGAGGGGUAACGGCCCACCAAGGCGAUGAUCAGUAGCCGGGCUGAGAGGAUGAACGACCACAUUGGGACUGAGACACGGCCCAGACUCCUACGGGAGGCAGCAGUGGGGAAUCUUCCGCAAUGGACGAAAGUCUGACGGAGCAACGCCGCGUGAGUGAUGACGGCCUUCGGGUUGUAAAGCUCUGUUAAUCGGGACGAAAGGCCUUCUUGCGAAUAGUGAGAAGGAUUGACGGUACCGGAAGAGAAAGCCACGGCUAACUACGUG
RNAcentral lists this ribosomal RNA (510 nucleotides) under uncultured bacterium. RNAcentral describes it as "partial 16S ribosomal RNA". It matches the Rfam family "Bacterial small subunit ribosomal RNA", at positions 28 to 507 of the family's 1533-position model. The record is from RNAcentral.